AUGCGCCCGAUGACGAGGCCUCUGCCGCCGGCCGUCGUGAUCUGUGCCUUGGGCGCACCGUCCACGGCCGUGCUGACGCAAUUACCGAGGUACUCUUCCAGGCUUAAUCCACGUGUGGUAGUCAAUGACGAAGAGGAAUUAGGUAUGAUCGCCGUUGCUUGCUGCGCUGUCGUGUUUAGCUUGGCAGUAGGAGGACCAGAUGAAGUCGAAGGUGGCCGCAAUCGUGGAGCGUCACCACGAUGUUGCUACGGCCUCACCGGCAGCGAUAACGACACCAUUCUUGGCGUGGCGAUGUAUAUCUACCUUGGAUGGCAUGAAGUUGGCUAG
RNAcentral lists this ribosomal RNA (327 nucleotides) under Triticum aestivum (bread wheat). RNAcentral's name for it is "partial small subunit ribosomal RNA". The record is from RNAcentral. Lineage: Eukaryota; Viridiplantae; Streptophyta; Magnoliopsida; Poales; Poaceae.